CCCGGGAACAAGGAGCUGGUAUCAGGCACACUCAAACAUGCCCACGACACCUUGCUCAGCCACACCCCCAAGGGUACUCAGCAGUGAUAAACAUUGACACAUAAGUGAAAACUUGACUCAGUUAAAGCUAAGAGGGCCGGUAAAACUCGUGCCAGCCACCGCGGUUAUACGGGAGGCCCAAGUUGUUAGAAGCCGGCGUAAAGGGUGGUUAAGAACAAGCUUAAAUUAAAGCCGAACGCCUUCUAGGCUGUUAUACGCAUCCGAAGGUAAGAAGCCCAAUUACGAAAG
Molecule: ribosomal RNA, 288 nt
Filed under: Pagellus bellottii
Lineage: Eukaryota; Metazoa; Chordata; Actinopteri; Spariformes; Sparidae
Description: partial 12S ribosomal RNA
Source: RNAcentral